GUGGGGAAUCUUGCGCAAUGGGCGAAAGCCUGACGCAGCCAUGCCGCGUGAAUGAUGAAGGUCUUAGGAUUGUAAAAUUCUUUCACCGGGGACGAUAAUGACGGUACCCGGAGAAGAAGCUCCGGCUAACUUCGUGCCAGCAGCCGCGGUAAUACGAAGGGGGCUAGCGUUGCUCGGAAUUACUGGGCGUAAAGGGCGCGUAGGCGGACAGCUUAGUCAGAGGUGAAAGCCCAGGGCUCAACCUUGGAAUUGCCUUUGAUACUGGCUGUCUUGAGUUUGGGAGAGGUGAGUGGAACUCCGAGUGUAGAGGUGAAAUUCGUAGAUAUUAGGAAGAACACCAGUGGCGAAGGCGGCUCACUGGUCCGGUACUGACGCUGAGGUGCGAAAGCGUGGGGAGCAAACAGGAUUAGAUACCCCAGUAGUCC
RNAcentral lists this ribosomal RNA (425 nucleotides) under uncultured bacterium. RNAcentral describes it as "partial 16S ribosomal RNA". It matches the Rfam family "Bacterial small subunit ribosomal RNA", at positions 354 to 796 of the family's 1533-position model. The record is from RNAcentral.